UGGUGGUGGGAACAGUGUCCCUGAGUUGCCUAACACUGUUGAUGUUAGUAGUAACAGUGGGGAGCAGCAGAAUCAUGUAAUGGAGGAACAUGAAAUGAAAGAUGAGGAAGAUGCUGAGGAAUUAGGGGAGAGUCUUUUCCCAGGCACCUAUGAGAUAUUGCAGUUAGAAAAGGAAGAAAUCCUUGCACCCCAUACUCAUUUCUGCACUAUAUGUGGGAAAGGAUUCAAAAGAGAUGCCAAUUUAAGGAUGCACAUGAGAGGGCAUGGUGAUGAGUACAAAACACCAGCAGCACUAGCUAAACCCAAUAAAGAAUCCAGUUCUGAACCAGCUCUUAU
Molecule: long non-coding RNA, 336 nt
Filed under: Gossypium raimondii (Peruvian cotton)
Lineage: Eukaryota; Viridiplantae; Streptophyta; Magnoliopsida; Malvales; Malvaceae
Description: long non-coding RNA (GRAI_LNC003484)
Source: RNAcentral